GGCACGCUAGCUGCUUCGCUCCCGGCACGGCAGGCCAACGGCGGUCUCCACAAAAAGACAAAGGCGUCGC
Molecule: non-coding RNA, 70 nt
Filed under: Stutzerimonas stutzeri SDM-LAC
Lineage: Bacteria; Pseudomonadati; Pseudomonadota; Gammaproteobacteria; Pseudomonadales; Pseudomonadaceae
Description: narK RNA
Rfam family: narK RNA
Source: RNAcentral